UGCAACGGAAAAUCCGUUGCAAAGUAAUUUUCAUUUGCAACUGAUUAUCCGUUGCAAAUUUAGAUUGCAACGGAAUUUCCGUUGCAAAUUAAUUUAAUUUGCAACGGAUAAUUCAUUGCAAAUGGUU
RNAcentral lists this small RNA (127 nucleotides) under Salix viminalis (osier). Lineage: Eukaryota; Viridiplantae; Streptophyta; Magnoliopsida; Malpighiales; Salicaceae. The record is from RNAcentral.